This 467-nucleotide ribosomal RNA is filed under the name uncultured bacterium. Its description in RNAcentral is "partial 16S ribosomal RNA". It matches the Rfam family "Bacterial small subunit ribosomal RNA", at positions 28 to 507 of the family's 1533-position model. The record is from RNAcentral.
GACGAACGCUGGCGGCGUGCUUAACACAUGCAAGUCGAACGGAAAGGCCCUGCUUUUGUGGGUGCUCGAGUGGCGAACGGGUGAGUAACACGUGAGUAACCUGCCCUUGACUUUGGGAUAACUUCAGGAAACUGGGGCUAAUACCGGAUAGGAGCUCCUGCUGCAUGGUGGGGGUUGGAAAGUUUCGGCGGUUGGGGAUGGACUCGCGGCUUAUCAGCUUGUUGGUGGGGUAGUGGCUUACCAAGGCUUUGACGGGUAGCCGGCCUGAGAGGGUGACCGGCCACAUUGGGACUGAGAUACGGCCCAGACUCCUACGGGAGGCAGCAGUGGGGAAUAUUGCAGAAUGGGCGGAAGCCUGAUGCAGCAACGCCGCGUGCGGGAUGACGGCCUUCGGGUUGUAAACCGCUUUCGCCUGUGACGAAGCGUGAGUGACGGUAAUGGGUAAAGAAGCACCGGCUAACUACGUG